This 443-nucleotide ribosomal RNA is filed under the name uncultured archaeon. RNAcentral describes it as "bacterial SSU rRNA". It matches the Rfam family "Archaeal small subunit ribosomal RNA", at positions 325 to 769 of the family's 1478-position model. The record is from RNAcentral.
ACGGGGAGCAGCAGGCGCGAAACCUUUACACUGCACGGAAGUGCGAUAAGGGGACCCCAAGUGCGAGGGCAUACAGUCCUCGCUUUUCUGGACCGUAAGGAGGUUCAGGAACAAGAGCUGGGCAAGACCGGUGCCAGCCGCCGCGGUAAUACCGGCAGCUCGAGUGAUGGCCGCUAUUAUUGGGCCUAAAGCGUCCGUAGCCGGCCGGACAAGUCCGUCGGGAAAUCCACGUGCUUAACGCGUGGGCGUCCGGCGGAAACUGUUCGGCUUGGGGCCGGAAGACCCGAGGGGUACGUCCGGGGUAGGAGUGAAAUCCCGUAAUCCUGGACGGACCGCCGGUGGCGAAAGCGCCUCGGGAAGACGGACCCGACGGUGAGGGACGAAAGCUAGGGUCUCGAACCGGAUUAGAUACCCGGGUAGCCUAGCCGAAACGAUGCCCGCUA